This 397-nucleotide ribosomal RNA is filed under the name uncultured bacterium. RNAcentral's name for it is "partial 16S ribosomal RNA". It matches the Rfam family "Bacterial small subunit ribosomal RNA", at positions 359 to 774 of the family's 1533-position model. The record is from RNAcentral.
GAUAUUGCACAAUGGGGGAAACCCUGAUGCAGCGACGCCGCGUGGAGGAAGACGGNCCNNUGGAUNGNAAACUCCUGUCUUAUNNNNNGAUAAUGACGGUACCAUAGGAGGAAGCACCGGCUAACUACGUGCCAGCAGCCGCGGUAAUGCGUAGGGUGCGAGCGUUGUCCGGAAUUACUGGGUGUAAAGGGAGCGUAGGCGGGGAUGCAAGUCAAGUGUCAAAUCUAUCGGCUCAACCGAUAGCCGCGCUUGAAACUGUGUCUCUUGAGUGAAGUAGAGGCAGGCGGAAUUCCUAGUGUAGCGGUGAAAUGCGUAGAUAUUAGGAGGAACACCAGUGGCGAAGGCGGCCUGCUGGGCUUUUACUGACGCUGAGGCUCGAAAGUGUGGGGAGCAAACA